UACGAAGGGGGCUAGCGUUGCUCGGAAUGACUGGGCGUAAAGGGCGCGUAGGCGGCACACACAGUCAGGCGUGAAAUUCCUGGGCUUAACCUGGGGGCUGCGUUUGAUACAUGUGAGCUAGAGGAUGGAAGAGGCUCGUGGAAUUCCCAGUGUAGAGGUGAAAUUCGUAGAUAUUGGGAAGAACACCGGUGGCGAAGGCG
RNAcentral lists this ribosomal RNA (200 nucleotides) under uncultured bacterium. RNAcentral describes it as "partial 16S ribosomal RNA". It matches the Rfam family "Bacterial small subunit ribosomal RNA", at positions 524 to 723 of the family's 1533-position model. The record is from RNAcentral.